CUACGGGUUGCUGCAGUGGGGAAUAUUGCACAAUGGGCGCAAGCCUGAUGCAGCCAUGCCGCGUGUAUGAAGAAGGCCUUCGGGUUGUAAAGUACUUUCAGCGGGGAGGAAGGGAGUAAAGUUAAUACCUUUGCUCAUUGACGUUACCCGCAGAAGAAGCACCGGCUAACUCCGUGCCAGCAGCCGCGGUAAUACGGAGGGUGCAAGCGUUAAUCGGAAUUACUGGGCGUAAAGCGCACGCAGGCGGUUUGUUAAGUCAGAUGUGAAAUCCCCGGGCUCAACCUGGGGACUGCAUCUGAUACUGGCCAGCUUGAGUCUCGUAGAGGGGGGUAGAAUUCCAGGUGUAGCGGUGAAAUGCGUAGAGAUCUGGAGGAAUACCGGUGGCGAAGGCGGCCCCCUGGACGAAGACUGACGCUCAGGUGCGAAAGCGUGGGGAGCAAACAGGAUUAGAUACCCCAGUAGUC
RNAcentral lists this ribosomal RNA (464 nucleotides) under uncultured bacterium. RNAcentral describes it as "partial 16S ribosomal RNA". It matches the Rfam family "Bacterial small subunit ribosomal RNA", at positions 339 to 795 of the family's 1533-position model. The record is from RNAcentral.